This 497-nucleotide ribosomal RNA is filed under the name uncultured bacterium. RNAcentral describes it as "partial 16S ribosomal RNA". It matches the Rfam family "Bacterial small subunit ribosomal RNA", at positions 28 to 507 of the family's 1533-position model. The record is from RNAcentral.
GAUGAACGCUGGCGGCGUGCCUAAUACAUGCAAGUCGAGCGAACAGACGAGGAGCUUGCUCCUUCGACGUUAGCGGCGGACGGGUGAGUAACACGUAGGUAACCUACCUAUAAGACUGGGAUAACUUCGGGAAACCGGAGCUAAUACCGGAUAAUAUUUCUAACCGCAUGGUUCGAUAGUGAAAGAUGGCUUUGCUAUCACUUAUAGAUGGACCUGCGCCGUAUUAGCUAGUUGGUAAGGUAACGGCUUACCAAGGCAACGAUACGUAGCCGACCUGAGAGGGUGAUCGGCCACACUGGAACUGAGACACGGUCCAGACUCCUACGGGAGGCAGCAGUAGGGAAUCUUCCGCAAUGGGCGAAAGCCUGACGGAGCAACGCCGCGUGAGUGAUGAAGGUCUUCGGAUCGUAAAACUCUGUUAUUAGGGAAGAACAAACGUGUAAGUAACUGUGCACGUCUUGACGGUACCUAAUCAGAAAGCCACGGCUAACUACGUG